Long non-coding RNA from Ictalurus punctatus (channel catfish), 677 nucleotides. The record is from Ensembl. NCBI's taxonomy places the organism in Eukaryota, Metazoa, Chordata, Actinopteri, Siluriformes, Ictaluridae.
CUGGUGUCGGAGGGGAUGGAGAUGUUUGUGCGGGUGGAGGGGUUGGAAGGUGUUGUUGGGGUUGGAAGGUGUUGAGGUUGUAAGUGUUGUAGGGGUUGGAGGUGUUGUAGGGCUAGUAGGUGUAGGAGAUGUUGUAGAGGUUAGAGGUGUUGUAGGGGUUAGAGGGUUUGGAGGUGCCGGGUGGAGGGACUUUGGGCUAGGUUUCCAUCAGGAUUGCUUUGUGAAUAAUUGGUGCAGUUGUAUUGCAGUAGAAUGUAAAGAGGCGGCCGGGGCGGAGGGUUAAGUCGCCUCUAAUGCACUUUAAUUGUGCUUAGUCAUUCUGAAGGUACUUUAUUGAUCGCUUACUUCAGGAUGCAGAAAACAAAACCGUCAAAUACCACACAGAGUCCACGAUGUGGAGCAGACUUCUAAAAUAACCAUCACUACAGCUCAGAGAGAACCACAGCAUACACCGCUCAGCUAUUUCUUAAAGGAAAGAGAAAUAAACGCACGGAUAAUCAUCAUGGAGGAAAUGAUGGAAACACUCUCUCUGAUAUUCAUCAUCUAAUAAUCAUCCAUCUGAGGAGCUUCAGUGCCAACUCUUAAACACCACACACUCGGUGAUGAGUCACAUCACACUCACACGUACAGCUGUCUUUAUAAAUGUCAUACAGCUACAGCAGAAUGACCAGCGCUCA